GGAGAGGUGGCUGAGUGGUCGAAAGCGGCGGUCUUGAAAACCGUUGGUCCGUAAGGUCCCGGGGGUUCGAAUCCCUCCCUCUCCGCCA
RNAcentral lists this transfer RNA (88 nucleotides) under Gammaproteobacteria bacterium. Its description in RNAcentral is "tRNA-Ser". It matches the Rfam family "tRNA". From Rfam's summary of the family: Transfer RNA (tRNA) molecules are approximately 80 nucleotides in length. Their secondary structure includes four short double-helical elements and three loops (D, anti-codon, and T loops). Lineage: Bacteria; Pseudomonadati; Pseudomonadota; Gammaproteobacteria. The record is from RNAcentral. RNAcentral also lists the same sequence under 1 other name.